CGAAUACCGGAGAAUGUUAUCACGGGAGACACACGGCGGGUGCUAACGUCCGUCGUGAAGAGGGAAACAACCCAGACCGCCAGCUAAGGUCCCAAAGUCAUGGUUAAGUGGGAAACGAUGUGGGAAGGCCCAGACAGCCAGGAUGUUGGCUUAGAAGCAGCCAUCAUUUAAAGAAAGCGUAAUAGCUCACUGGUCGAGUCGGCCUGCGCGGAAGAUGUAACGGGGCUAAACCAUGCACCGAAGCUGCGGCAGCGACGCUUAUGCGUUGUUGGGUAGGGGAGCGUUCUGUAAGCCUGUGAAGGUGUGCUGUGAGGCAUGCUGGAGGUAUCAGAAGUGCGAAUGCUGACAUAAGUAACGAUAAAGCGGGUGAAAAGCCCGCUCGCCGGAAGACCAAGGGUUCCUGUCCAACGUUAAUCGGGGCAGGGUGAGUCGACCCCUAAGGCGAGGCCGAAAGGCGUAGUCGAUGGGAAACAGGUUAAUAUUCCUGUACUUGGUGUUACUGCGAAGGGGGGACGGAGAAGGCUAUGUUGGCCGGGCGACGGUUGUCCCGGUUUAAGCGUGUAGGCUGGUUUUCCAGGCAAAUCCGGAAAAUCAAGGCUGAGGCGUGAUGACGAGGCACUACGGUGCUGAAGCAACAAAUGCCCUGCUUCCAGGAAAAGCCUCUAAGCAUCAGGUAACAUCAAAUCGUACCCCAAACCGACACAGGUGGUCAGGUAGAGAAUACCAAGGCGCUUGAGAGAACUCGGGUGAAGGAACUAGGCAAAAUGGUGCCGUAACUUCGGGAGAAGGCACGCUGAUAUGUAGGUGAAGUCCCUCGCGGAUGGAGCUGAAAUCAGUCGAAGAUACCAGCUGGCUGCAACUGUUUAUUAAAAACACAGCACUGUGCAAACACGAAAGUGGACGUAUACGGUGUGACGCCUGCCCGGUGCCGGAAGGUUAAUUGAUGGGGUUAGCGCAAGCGAAGCUCUUGAUCGAAGCCCCGGUAAACGGCGGCCGUAACUAUAACGGUCCUAAGGUAGCGAAAUUCCUUGUCGGGUAAGUUCCGACCUGCACGAAUGGCGUAAUGAUGGCCAGGCUGUCUCCACCCGAGACUCAGUGAAAUUGAACUCGCUGUGAAGAUGCAGUGUACCCGCGGCAAGACGGAAAGACCCCGUGAACCUUUACUAUAGCUUGACACUGAACAUUGAGCCUUGAUGUGUA
RNAcentral lists this ribosomal RNA (1200 nucleotides) under Escherichia coli. RNAcentral's name for it is "bacterial LSU rRNA". It matches the Rfam family "Bacterial large subunit ribosomal RNA", at positions 957 to 2140 of the family's 2925-position model. Lineage: Bacteria; Pseudomonadati; Pseudomonadota; Gammaproteobacteria; Enterobacterales; Enterobacteriaceae. The record is from RNAcentral.